CCUACGGGAGGCAGCAGUGGGGAAUUUUGGACAAUGGGCGCAAGCCUGAUCCAGCAAUGCCGCGUGCAGGAUGAAGGCCUUCGGGUUGUAAACUGCUUUUGUACGGAACGAAACGGCGAGCUCUAAUAAAGUUCGCUAAUGACGGUACCGUAAGAAUAAGCACCGGCUAACUACGUGCCAGCAGCCGCGGUAAUACGUAGGGUGCAAGCGUUAAUCGGAAUUACUGGGCGUAAAGCGUGCGCAGGCGGUGAUGUAAGACAGAUGUGAAAUCCCCGGGCUCAACCUGGGACCUGCAUUUGUGACUGCAUCGCUAGAGUACGGUAGAGGGGGAUGGAAUUCCGCGUGUAGCAGUGAAAUGCGUAGAUAUGCGGAGGAACACCGAUGGCGAAGGCAAUCCCCUGGACCUGUACUGACGCUCAUGCACGAAAGCGUGGGGAGCAAACAGGAUUAGAUACCCUGGUAGUCCACGCCCUAAACGAUGUCAACUGGUUGUUGGGUACUCUUCCUNUCUACACUACGUAACGACGACGACGCGAGUAGUACGCCGCGGNGGAGGACGGCCGACGAGUAGACGACGAAGAGUAGAGNGAGAGAGCGACGACGGACGACGACGGAGGGAGGAGG
RNAcentral lists this ribosomal RNA (624 nucleotides) under uncultured bacterium. Its description in RNAcentral is "bacterial SSU rRNA". The stretch from base 1 to 546 matches the Rfam family "Bacterial small subunit ribosomal RNA", at positions 338 to 873 of the family's 1533-position model. The record is from RNAcentral.